AUUGAACGCUGGCGGCAGGCUUAACACAUGCAAGUCGAGCGGGGUGAUGGUGCUUGCACUAUCACUUAGCGGCGGACGGGUGAGUAAUGCUUAGGAAUCUGCCUAUUAGUGGGGGACAACAUCUCGAAAGGGAUGCUAAUACCGCAUACGUCCUACGGGAGAAAGCAGGGGAUCACUUGUGACCUUGCGCUAAUCGAUGAGCCUAAGUCGGAUUAGCUAGUUGGUGGGGUAAAGGCCUACCAAGGCGACGAUCUGUAGCGGGUCGGAGAGGAUGAUCCGCCACACUGGGACUGGGACACGGCCCAGACUCCUACGGGAGGCAGCAGUGGGGAAUAUUGGACAAUGGGGGGAACCCUGAUCCAGCCAUGCCGCGUGUGUGAAGAAGGCCUUAUGGUUGUAAAGCACUUUAAGCGAGGAGGAGGCUCUUUUGGUUAAUACCCAAGAUGAGUGGACGUUACUCGCAGAAUAAGCACCGGCUAACUCUGUGCCAGCCGCCGCCGUAA
RNAcentral lists this ribosomal RNA (503 nucleotides) under uncultured bacterium. RNAcentral describes it as "partial 16S ribosomal RNA". It matches the Rfam family "Bacterial small subunit ribosomal RNA", at positions 30 to 523 of the family's 1533-position model. The record is from RNAcentral.